This 164-nucleotide ribosomal RNA is filed under the name uncultured bacterium. RNAcentral's name for it is "partial 16S rRNA". It matches the Rfam family "Bacterial small subunit ribosomal RNA", at positions 355 to 511 of the family's 1533-position model. The record is from RNAcentral.
UAGGGAAUCUUCCACAAUGGACGCAAGUCUGAUGGAGCAACGCCGCGUGAGUGAAGAAGGUUUUCGGAUCGUAAAGCUCUGUUGUUGGUGAAGAAGGAUAGAGGUAGUAACUGGCCUUUAUUUGACGGUAAUCAACCAGAAAGUCACGGCUAACUACGUGUCAG